This 503-nucleotide ribosomal RNA is filed under the name uncultured bacterium. Its description in RNAcentral is "partial 16S ribosomal RNA". It matches the Rfam family "Bacterial small subunit ribosomal RNA", at positions 30 to 523 of the family's 1533-position model. The record is from RNAcentral.
AUUGAACGCUGGCGGCAGGCUUAACACAUGCAAGUCGAGCGGGGUGAUGGUGCUUGCACUAUCACUUAGCGGCGGACGGGUGAGUAAUGCUUAGGAAUCUGCCUAUUAGUGGGGGACAACAUCUCGAAAGGGAUACUAAUACCGCAUACGUCCUACGGGAGAAAGCAGGGGAUCACUUGUGACCUUGCGCUAAUAGAUGAGCCUAAGUCGGAUUAGCUAGUUGGUGGGGUAAAGGCCUACCAAGGCGACGAUCUGUAGCGGGUCUGAGAGGAUGAUCCGCCAAACUGGGACUGAGACACGGCCCAGACUCCUACGGGAGGCAGCAGUGGGGAAUAUUGGACAAUGGGGGGAACCCUGAUCCAGCAAUGCCGCGUGUGUGAAGAAGGCCUUAUGGUUGUAAAGCACUUUAAGCGAGGAGGAGGCUCUUUUGGUUAAUACCCAAGAUGAGUGGACGUUACUCGCAGAGUAAGCACCGGCUAACUCUGUGCCAGCCGCCGCGGUAA